GACGGAGGGUGCAAGCGUUGCUCGGAAUCAUUGGGCGUAAAGGGUGCGUAGGCGGCUUUUUAAGUCUGACGUGAAAGCCCAGGGCUUAGCCUUGGAAGUGCGCCAGAAACUGGAAGGCUAGAGUGCCGGAGGGGAGAGUGGAAUUCCUGGUGUAGCGGUGAAAUGCGUAGAUAUCUGGAGGAACACCGGUGGCGAAGGCGGCAUCCUGGACCGACACUGACGCUGAGGAGCGAAAGCGUGGGGAGCGAACAGG
This 253-nucleotide ribosomal RNA is filed under the name uncultured bacterium. Its description in RNAcentral is "partial 16S ribosomal RNA". It matches the Rfam family "Bacterial small subunit ribosomal RNA", at positions 524 to 776 of the family's 1533-position model. The record is from RNAcentral.